GUUUCCGCCCCUGUCCUCAGAGGAAUUUUGGGAAGAUAAAUGAUAGGUUCGUGUCUUCAUUCCUGUGAACCUUUUACUUGUGUUUUCCAGGGAGACACCGGACCAAAAAUUUUUUGUUGCUGUGGUUGCAAGCUUUGGGACCCAUAACAAUGACACCAGAUGCACUGGAGUGGCUGAACGCAGAGGAAACGCGGAGGUCGUUCUGAUCGACAGCAGAGGCCACAACACGACCCUGAAAAAUGCAUUGUACAUCCCUUCCUACCCGCAAGACAUUUUUUCAGUGAAAGCAGCUACUUCGAGUGCAGCAACGGUGAUCUUCAAGCAGGGAAAAGAUCUCCUAUAACACAAGGACGGUACAAACUUUCAUAUUCAUGUGUGUAACAGUCUAUAUUAUCUACAGACACUAAGUGAUGAAUGUACUGACAAACGUAGCAGUUGUCACGACCUACUGAAAUGGCAUGAGAUCCUAGGACACUGUAAUUAUGAUGACAUCCAAAAGUUAGAGUGUUGUUAAAGGCAUGACAAUCAAGGGUAAAGUAGAUAAAACUCCACAUUGUGAAGUGUGCACUCAGGGAAAGUUUACCCAAACUAGGAACUGGGAGCAUGAUGUAAGAGCCAAAACAGCUUUAGAGCUGGUACACACAGACAUAGCGGGACCAAUAGACCCAGAGUCUAGAGAUGGACAUAGGUUUACAUUAUCAUUCACUGAUGACUAUUCCAGUGCAGUGUUUGUAUACUUUUUAAAGAACAAGAGUGACAGUACAAGCAACAGAGAAGUUUCUUGCUGAUACAGCCCCAUAUGGGAAGAUCAAACAUAUCAGAUCUGACAAUGGUGCAGAGUUCAUGGGCAAAAGUUAUCCGGCGUUACUGAGCAAAAACGGGAUUAGACAUGAAACCUCAGUACCUUAUUCACCACACCAGUAUGGUACUGCUGAGCGAAGCUGGUGAACUCUCUUUGACAUGGCUAGGUGUAUGUUGAUAGAGAGUGACCUGCCAAAAGAGUUAUGGACCUAUGCAGUGCAGACAGCAGCUGUAGUGAGGAACAGAUGCUUUAACAAUCGCACAAAGCAAACACCAUAUUUCAUGCUGACUGGAAGAAGGUCUGACAUUUCCAAAAUACAAAAAUUUGGAUCAGUAUGUUAUGCUGAUAAACAGGACAAAGGAAAACUAGACUCAAGGAAUGAGAAGGGGAUAUUUGUCGGUUACGACAAGAACAGCCCAGCCUACAUGGUUUACACUCCUGACAAUGGAAAGGUGCAGAAGCACAGACUGGUGAAGUUUGUAACCAAAACACAUGUUGAGCAUCAGACACACACAGACAUAGCAUUUGAUGGUGAUGACUUUGAGGUACAGAACAGGGUGAACAGGAAUAGACAAAGAAAUGAGGAGAGUCCAGGACAUAGUGGAGACCAGGUUCCAGACACUAUACCUGAGGUGAACAGCCAAGGGCAAACAGAUGAGACCAAACAUGAGCAGAAGUGAUACCCUUCCAGAGUGAGAAACAAGCCAGGUUACUUAAGUGAAUAUGUAUCUGGUGAUGAAAGUGAGGAUCAGGUACUGAUGAACAUAGAUCACUGUUACAAACUGAUGUGUAACGUACCUUUAACAUUCAGGGAAGCUGUAACCUUACCUAAAUCAAGGGAAUGGGUUAUUGCAAUAGAUGAAGAGAUCCAAUCACUGAGAGAAAAUAACACAUUUACCCUGAUAAAAUUGCCUGAAAGUUAGAAAGUAGUGGGGGGUAAAUGGGUGUAUGCCAUCAAGAACAAUGUGGAUGGAACUCACAAAUACAAGGCACGAUAUGUAGCCAAAGGAUACAGUCAAAAAGUAGGUGUAGAUUAUGAUGAAACAUUUGCUCCUACUGCUAACAUGGCCAGUGUAAGAGUGUUGAUGCAAAAAGCAGCACAGGCAAACCUGAUUUUACAUCAGAUGGAUGUCAAAACUGCCUACCUACAUGCACCAAUAGAUUGCGAGGUUUACUUGGAACAGCCAAAAGGUUAUGAAGAGAAAUCUAGCACAAACAAAAGGUUGGUGUAUAAGCAGGAAAAGUCCCUAUAUGGACUGAAACAAUCCGGCAGAAAUUGGAACAAAACUCUACAUGAGUAUCUGAGUGAAAACAAAUUUUCACAAAGCCCUGUUGAUCAUUGUGUUUACACGAGGGAGACAGAAAAUGAGAAGAUGAUCAUGAUAAUAUGGGGUGAUGAUUUAUUAAUUGCUGCAAGUGAUGAAAAUGCACUGAAUAUUGUGACAGAAAUGCUCACAGCAAGAUUCAUGAUGAAGGACUUGGGAAAACUGACACAUUUCCUGGUAUUGAUUUUGACCAAAGUGAUGGAUGUGUAAAAAUGUCACAGAAGAAAUAUGUUGAAAGGAUUCUUGAAAGUUUUGACAUGCAAAAUUGUAAAGCUAGAGAGACACCUUGCAAACAAAAACUGAACUAUGCUGAUGACGCAGAAAUGUGUGAUAUCAGAAAAUACAGAGAGGCUGUUGGAAGCUUACUUUAUCUUGCAGCAUGUACAAGACCUGACCUGAAUUUUGUUGUAAGUAAACUUUCACAGUACUUUACUGAACCAACCGAAGAGCAAUGGACUACUGUUAAACAUGUACUGAGAUAUCUAAAGGGGACAGCUGAGAAAGAGUUGUGUUACAGGAAAUGCAACAUGAAAAGAUGAGACUACACGCUUACAGUGAUGCGGAUUGGGCAGCUGAUAUAAUUGACAGAUGAAUGGUGCGUUGAUUUCUUGGAAGACCAAAAGGCAGCCUACUGUUGCCCUUUCCAUGUACGAGGCUGAAUAUAUGGCGUUAGCUGCUACUACUCAAGAGUGUAUGUACCUAGUGCAACUACUAGAUGGCAUUGACAAAUGUAAAUACGCACUUCCUAAAGUCUAUGAAGAUAAUCAGGGUAUAAUAGCUUUAGCUAAAAAUCCUGUGAAUAGACAGAGAUGCUAGCAUGUUGACAUCAAAUGUCAUUUUGUAAGGUCAACUGCAAAUGAUGGGAAAAUAAGUUUGGAGUAUUGUCCAACAGACCUGAUGGUUGCAGAUGUUAUGACAAAGCCUGCAACAAAAUUUAAAUAGAUUAAGUUUGCAAAGUUUAUGUUUGGAGAUCAGUUAUGUAUAUGAAAAUGUACAUGAUCCAGAGUUGAGGCUUUAUGAUGUUUGCUUAAAAUCACAAUGUCAGAGCAAGUGGAGGUGUUGACAUAUAUGAAAAGUGUGCUCUCAAUUUGUGGAAAUGGACUUCUAUUCAUGAUGUCAUGGAAAUGAACCAAUGGGGGGUGCUGUUGUUGAUAUACUGUUUUUGGUGCCGUCGUUGUUGCCUGUCUUAUAAAGAGGAAUAAAAUGGUUCCAAAGAGGACUGAUGCCCCACUGUUGUGAAAUUAUUCUGGUCUAGCACUGGGUGUCCACGCCAGAAUCGCCGUGGAAUUAAUCUCUGCUAACAUUUGUGACCUGAGAGAGGGGACAGUAAACAGCUUUCACUUCUACAAAACACAGCAGCAGAUAUGUAUUAUGAUGAAAUCAUGCAAUUUCUCUCUGACAUCUUGAUGAAAUAAAGUGUUAGUUCACUUUUCUUACUUCCUCAUUCACAUGAAGUGGUUGAUUGUCAGUGAUUAUAUAAAGACCUGUUGCUUUCACACUCUUCAGUGGAUCAGCCAUGGACAAAGGUUUGCUGCUGGUCCUGUUGUGUCUGCAGGUCGUCCUGCUCACCACAGUCUUCACUUCUGCUGAUGCAGCCGCUCUGCUGAGAGAUGAUCAGCAUCAACAACCUGUUGAUCCGAUAAGAAGUCUGCAGCAAGUGAAAGAAGGAGGACAGAUGGAAAAAAAACGUCUAUUCCGGAGACACUGCGGGAGCAGACCAGGAGGAUGCACUUUGUUGGGAAGCAUGCUUCGGCCAGUACAACCCACUCUGAAACCAGACAUCUAGAGGCAAGCUCUGCAGGAAGUGCCAUCAGAUGCAGAAGACUGCAAAUGAAUGAAGACAAUUGUAAUGCUUACAAAACAAUGCAAAGGCUUUUAAUUAGAAAUAAAAGAUUUCAAAUCAGA
Molecule: long non-coding RNA, 4032 nt
Organism: Amphiprion ocellaris (clown anemonefish)
Lineage: Eukaryota; Metazoa; Chordata; Actinopteri; Pomacentridae
Source: Ensembl